GAGUCAUAGCUCAGCUGGGAGAGCGCUACGCUGGCAGCGUAGAGGUCAGGGGUUCGAGCCCCCUUGGCUCCA
This 72-nucleotide transfer RNA is filed under the name Bacillus subtilis. Its description in RNAcentral is "tRNA-Ala". It matches the Rfam family "tRNA". From Rfam's summary of the family: Transfer RNA (tRNA) molecules are approximately 80 nucleotides in length. Their secondary structure includes four short double-helical elements and three loops (D, anti-codon, and T loops). Lineage: Bacteria; Bacillati; Bacillota; Bacilli; Caryophanales; Bacillaceae. The record is from RNAcentral.